Long non-coding RNA from Neofelis nebulosa (Clouded leopard), 305 nucleotides. RefSeq lists it as uncharacterized. The record is from RefSeq and is a predicted model, not a curated record. The transcript is spliced from 3 exons. NCBI's taxonomy places the organism in Eukaryota, Metazoa, Chordata, Mammalia, Carnivora, Felidae.
GGAAAACCAGUGUCCAUAGGAAGUCCUGUUUGCAUCAUGCCUUUGAGAGCGAACCACACAAACAGCUGAAACCUUGGGAAAGUGGAAGUCCCUCAAGAGGAGAUCUGUUUCCAUGAUCCUUUCUCCAAGUGGACACGGAAUUCCUCCAACAGAUAUUGCUGGACUACCUUUUCUAAACAUACGCUAGCGUGUCAUAAAUUCAGGAUGACACCGGAACUACGCUCUUGUCUUUGGUGAACGUGGUGCUGACCACUGAAUGGUGUGACCUUUCAAAGAAGCCUGCAGCCUGGAUACUUACCCAUAUC